This 523-nucleotide ribosomal RNA is filed under the name uncultured bacterium. RNAcentral's name for it is "bacterial SSU rRNA". It matches the Rfam family "Bacterial small subunit ribosomal RNA", at positions 791 to 1315 of the family's 1533-position model. The record is from RNAcentral.
UAGUCCACGCCGUAAACGAUGACAACUAGCCGUCGGGGCCCUUGAGGCUUUGGUGGCGCAGCUAACGCGGUAAGUUGUCCGCCUGGGGAGUACGGCCGCAAGGCUAAAACUCAAAUGAAUUGACGGGGGCCCGCACAAGCGGUGGAGCAUGUUGUUUAAUUCGGUGAUACGCGAGGAACCUUACCUAGGCUCUAAUGUGAUUGACCGGUUCUGAAAGGGACCUUUCCUUCGGGACAAGAAACAAGGUGCUGCAUGGUUGUCGUCAGCUCGUGCCGUGAGGUGUUGGGUUAAGUCCCGCAACGAGCGCAACCCCUAUCUUUAGUUGCCAGCACGUAAUGGUGGGGACUCUAGAGAGACUGCCGGCGUAAGCCGCGAGGAAGGUGGGGACGACGUCAAAUCAUCAUGGCCUUUAUGCCUAGGGCGACACACGUGCUACAAUGGCGGGCACAGAGGGUAGCGAAGCAGCGAUGUGGAGCCAAUCCCAGAAAGCCCGUCCCAGUUCGGAUUGGAGUCUGCAACUCGA